Molecule: long non-coding RNA, 136 nt
Organism: Polistes dominula (European paper wasp)
Lineage: Eukaryota; Metazoa; Arthropoda; Insecta; Hymenoptera; Vespidae
Source: RefSeq, a predicted model, not a curated record
GAGCCUCCAAAAAAACAAAAAAGGGGAUUUAUUAAGCCAGCUACACCUAUGCCGAAAAUAUGUGACGAAACGAAAUCCAGCAACUGUAACACACCCAAUUUAUCAAAUACAGUGCUCGAACAUCAUCCAGAAAUUG